RNAcentral lists this ribosomal RNA (481 nucleotides) under uncultured bacterium. Its description in RNAcentral is "bacterial SSU rRNA". It matches the Rfam family "Bacterial small subunit ribosomal RNA", at positions 28 to 495 of the family's 1533-position model. The record is from RNAcentral.
GAUGAACGCUAGCGGCAGGCUUAAUACAUGCAAGUCGAGGGGCAUCAAGGUACACGAAAGUGUAUUGUUGGCGACCGGCGGACGGGUGAGUAAUAGGUAGGUAACCUACCUCAUACUGAGGCAUAGCUGGGAGAAAUUCCAGGUAAUUCCUCAUGAGGUUAUAUGACACAUGUGAUAUAAUCAAAGGUAUCGCAAGGUACUGGUAUGAGAUGGGCUUACUGACCAUUAGCUAGUUGGUGAGAUAAGAGCUCACCAAGGCGAAGAUGGUUAGGGGUUUGAGAGAGAGAUCCCCCACAUUGGAACUGAGAUACGGUCCAGACUCCUACGGGAGGCAGCAGUAGGGAAUAUUGGGCAAUGGGCGGAAGCCUGACCCAGCCAUGCCGCGUGAAGGAAGACGGCCUUAUGGUUGUAAACUUCUUUACUAUGCGACUAACUAGAUUUACGAGAUAAUCUAUAGAAUGUAGCAUAGCAAAAAGCAACC